RNAcentral lists this ribosomal RNA (253 nucleotides) under uncultured bacterium. RNAcentral describes it as "partial 16S ribosomal RNA". It matches the Rfam family "Bacterial small subunit ribosomal RNA", at positions 524 to 776 of the family's 1533-position model. The record is from RNAcentral.
UACAGAGGGUGCUAGCGUUGUUCGGAAUUAUUGGGCGUAAAGCGCGCGUAGGCGGCCACUUAAGUCGGAUGUGAAAGCCCCUGGCUCAACUGGGGAAGUGCACCCGAAACUGAAUGGCUUGAAUACAAAAGAGGGUCGCGGAAUUCCCGGUGUAGAGGUGAAAUUCGUAGAUAUCGGGAGGAACACCAGUGGCGAAGGCGGCGAUCUGGGUUGAUACUGACGCUGAGGUGCGAAAGCGUGGGGAGCAAACAGG